CCUACGGGAGGCAGCAGUGAGGAAUAUUGGUCAAUGGACGAGAGUCUGAACCAGCCAAGUAGCGUGCAGGAUGACUGCCCUAUGAGUUGUAAACUUCUUUUAUAUGGGAAUAAAAUGUUCCACGUGUGGGCUUUUGUAUGUACCAUAUGAAUAAGGAUCGGCUAACUCCGUGCCAGCAGCCGCGGUAAUACGGAGGAUCCGAGCGUUAUCCGGAUUUAUUGGGUUUAAAGGGAGCGUAGGUGGAUUGUUAAGUCAGAUGUGAAAUGUUGCGGCGCAACCGUAAAAUUGCAGUUGAAACUGGCAGUCUUGAGUACAGUAGAGGUAGGCGGAAUGCGUUGUGUAGCGGUGAAAUGCUUAGAUAUCACGAAGAACUCCGAUUGCGAAGGCAGCUCACUGGACUGCAACUGACACUGAGGCUCGAAAGUGUGGGUAUCAAACAGGAUUAGAUACCCCUGUAGUC
Molecule: ribosomal RNA, 460 nt
Filed under: uncultured bacterium
Lineage: Bacteria
Description: partial 16S ribosomal RNA
Rfam family: Bacterial small subunit ribosomal RNA
Source: RNAcentral